CUGCCUGAACACUCCCAUCUCACUGGUCUUUCAGGAUGACCACAAGAACAAUGUAUCAUUCCUGGCGAGGACUCAUCAUCCUGAUGUGGGCGCUCAACACUGAGGCAACAGUGAAGUUUUCUCAAAUUCAUAUAUCACAUAUGACUACAUUUUGCCUGCAAGUAAAUAUUAUAGAAGCAGCAGCAGCACUUGAGUGCCCAGCGUAGUACUUGGCAUUCUACAUAUAAAAAGGAGGCAGAAAAGAGGGGAAAAAUGGAGAAAGAAGGAAAUCAUUGAGUGUUCAUUAUUACGCAUCUUUCCAUACAAGGCACACAUAUGUCUGUAAUCUUCCUGACAAAGAAAGAUCUUCCAUCUACUACUUUACUCCCCAAAUGCCCAUCCAAGCUUGGCUGGGCCUGGCCAAAUUCAGGAACCUAGAAUUCUACCAGAGUCUCCCACAUGGAAUACAGGGUCCCAAGUAAUUGAACCAUCAUUUGC
This is a long non-coding RNA of Ochotona princeps (American pika), 477 nucleotides long. RefSeq lists it as uncharacterized. NCBI's taxonomy places the organism in Eukaryota, Metazoa, Chordata, Mammalia, Lagomorpha, Ochotonidae. The record is from RefSeq and is a predicted model, not a curated record. The transcript is spliced from 3 exons.